RNAcentral lists this microRNA (22 nucleotides) under Homo sapiens (human). Its description in RNAcentral is "hsa-miR-6861-5p". The record is from miRBase by way of RNAcentral. Lineage: Eukaryota; Metazoa; Chordata; Mammalia; Primates; Hominidae.
ACUGGGUAGGUGGGGCUCCAGG